AUACAGAGGGUGCAAGCGUUAAUCGGAUUUACUGGGCGUAAAGCGCGCGUAGGUGGCUAAUUAAGUCAAAUGUGAAAUCCCCGAGCUUAACUUGGGAAUUGCAUUCGAUACUGGUUAGCUAGAGUAUGGGAGAGGAUGGUAGAAUUCCAGGUGUAGCGGUGAAAUGCGUAGAGAUCUGGAGGAAUACCGAUGGCGAAGGCAGCCAUCUGGCCUAAUACUGACACUGAGGUGCGAAAGCAUGGGGAGCAAACAGGAUUAGAUACCCUGGUAGUCCAUGCCGUAAACGAUGUCUACUAGCCGUUGGGGCCCUUGAGGCUUUAGUGGCGCAGCUAACGCGAUAAGUAGACCGCCUGGGGAGUACGGCCGCAAGACUAAAACUUAAAUGAAUUGACGGGG
RNAcentral lists this ribosomal RNA (396 nucleotides) under uncultured bacterium. RNAcentral's name for it is "partial 16S ribosomal RNA". It matches the Rfam family "Bacterial small subunit ribosomal RNA", at positions 523 to 918 of the family's 1533-position model. The record is from RNAcentral.